This 499-nucleotide non-coding RNA is filed under the name Pan troglodytes (chimpanzee). The record is from RNAcentral. Lineage: Eukaryota; Metazoa; Chordata; Mammalia; Primates; Hominidae.
GGGUGGAAUCUGAAGGGUGAGCCUUCUUCCCCAGGCUGGGAGUGGGUGAGACGAGACUGGGGCCUGUAUGUCUGAGUGCCCCCCAAACCCAGCAGUCAUGUUGCAAGGAAACGAAAUCACGUUACUUCUUCCAGCUGAUGUUCCACUUGUUUCUUCUGUUGUUUCUGUGGGGAGAGUCAAAUAAGGUGAUGGAGGGUGGCCCCCUCAACUCUAUUCCCCAUACCAGGAAGCGGUAGGCAGGGGCCAGGAAUGGAUUUUAAAGGCAAAGUUCUCAGACCUAAUGGGAACACGAACCGGUAAACUCUCCUCAAGCUCCCAAGGACAGAGGAUUUGGGUCUUUGUUGGCUUUUGCCCACAGCCACAGAACUCAAAGUCUGAAUCUGGAAUCUCUUGAGAGGACAGAAACAUAAACCUCUAGAGAUGGAGUUUGAGAAAGGCCCCUCCUUCUGGCAGCUUGUGAUUUAGAAAAGUGGGUUCAUUCAAUAAACAUUUACUGAGC